GUAACACGUAUGCAACCUACCCUUUACUGGGGCAUAGCUCAGAGAAAUCUGAAUUAAUUCCCCAUAAUAUAAUUAGAUGGCAUCAUUUGAUUAUUAAAGCUGAGGCGGUAAAGGAUGGGCAUGCGUUGCAUUAGCUAGUUGGUGAGGUAAUGGCUCACCAAGGCUACGAUGCAUAGGGGUUCUGAGAGGAUGAUCCCCCACACUGGUACUGAGACACGGACCAGACUCCUACGGGAGGCAGCAGUAGGGAAUAUUGGUCAAUGGACGCAAGUCUGAACCAGCCAUGCCGCGUGCAGGAAGACGGCCCUCUGGGUUGUAAACUGCUUUUAUAUGGGAAGAAACCCCUGGAUGCGUCCAGGGCUGACGGUACUUUAUGAAUAAGGAUCGGCUAACUUCGUGCCAGCAGCCGCGGUAAGACGAAGGAUCCAAGCGUUGUCCGGAUUUACUGGGUUUAAAGGGUGCGUAGGCGGACCGAUAAGUCAGUGGUGAAAGCCCAUAGCUCAACUAUGGAACUGCCAUUGAAACUGCCGGUCUUGAAUUCGGUUGAGGCAGAUGGAAUAUAACAUGUAGCGGUGAAAUGCUUAGAUAUGUUAUAGAACACCGAUUGCGAAGGCAGUCUGCUAAGUCGACAUUGACGCUGAGGCA
Molecule: ribosomal RNA, 645 nt
Filed under: uncultured bacterium
Lineage: Bacteria
Description: bacterial SSU rRNA
Rfam family: Bacterial small subunit ribosomal RNA
Source: RNAcentral